UACGUAGGGUGCAAGCGUUAAUCGGAAUUACUGGGCGUAAAGCGUGCGCAGGCGGUUUUGUAAGUCUGUCGUGAAAUCCCCGGGCUCAACCUGGGAAUUGCGAUGGAGACUGCAAGGCUAGAAUCUGGCAGAGGGGGGUAGAAUUCCACGUGUAGCAGUGAAAUGCGUAGAGAUGUGGAGGAACACCGAUGGCGAAGGCAGCCCCCUGGGCUAGCACUGACGCUCAGGCACGAAAGCGUGGGGAGCAAACAGG
This 253-nucleotide ribosomal RNA is filed under the name uncultured bacterium. Its description in RNAcentral is "partial 16S ribosomal RNA". It matches the Rfam family "Bacterial small subunit ribosomal RNA", at positions 524 to 776 of the family's 1533-position model. The record is from RNAcentral.